GACGAACGUUGGCGGCGUGCUUAACACAUGCAAGUCGAACGGAAAGGCCCUGCUUUUGUGGGGUGCUCGAGUGGCGAACGGGUGAGUAACACGUGAGUAACCUGCCCUUGACUUUGGGAUAACUUCAGGAAACUGGGGCUAAUACCGGAUAGGAGCUCCUGCUGCAUGGUGGGGGUUGGAAAGUUUCGGCGGUUGGGGAUGGACUCGCGGCUUAUCAGCUUGUUGGUGGGGUAGUGGCUUACCAAGGCUUUGACGGGUAGCCGGCCUGAGAGGGCGACCGGCCACAUUGGGACUGAGAUACGGCCCAGACUCCUACGGGAGGCAGCAGUGGGGAAUAUUGCACAAUGGGCGGAAGCCUGAUGCAGCAACGCCGCGUGCGGGAUGACGGCCUUCGGGUUGUAAACCGCUUUCGCCUGUGACGAAGCGUGAGUGACGGUAAUGGGUAAAGAAGCACCGGCUAACUACGUGCUAGCAGCCGCGGUGAUACGUAGGGUGCGAGCGUUGUCCGGAUUUAUUGGGCGUAAAGGGCUCGUAGGUGGUUGAUCGCGUCGGAAGUGUAAUCUUGGGGCUUAACCCUGAGCGUGCUUUCGAUACGGGUUGACUUGAGGAAGGUAGGGGAGAAUGGAAUUCCUGGUGGAGCGGUGGAAUGCGCAGAUAUCAGGAGGAACACCAGUGGCGAAGGCGGUUCUCUGGGCCUUUCCUGACGCUGAGGAGCGAAAGCGUGGGGAGCGAACAGGCUUAGAUACCCUGGUAGUCCACGCUGUAAACGGUGGGUACUAGGUGUGGGGUCCAUUCCACGGGUUCCGUGCCGUAGCUAACGUUUUAAGUACCCCGCCUGGGGAGUACGGCCGCAAGGCUAAAACUCAAAGGAAUUGACGGGGCCCCGCACAAGCGGCGGAGCAUGCGGAUUAAUUCGAUGCAACGCGUAGAACCUUACCUGGGUUUGACAUGGAUCGGGAGUGCUCAGAGAUGGGUGUGCCUCUUUUGGGGUCGGUUCACAGGUGGUGCAUGCCUGUCGUCAGCUCGUGUCGUGAGAUGUUGGGUUAAGUCCCGCAACGAGCGCAACCCUUGUUCACUGUUGCCAGCACGUUAUGGUGGGGACUCAGUGGAGACCGCCGGGGUCAACUCGGAGGAAGGUGGGGAUGACGUCAAGUCCUCAUGCCCCUUAUGUCCAGGGCUUCACGCAUGCUACAAUGGCUGGUACAGAGAGUGGCGAGCCUGUGAGGGUGAGCGAAUCUCGGAAAGCCGGUCUCAGUUCGGAUUGGGGUCUGCAACUCGACCUCAUGAAGUCGGAGUCGCUAGUAAUCGCAGAUCAGCAACGCUGCGGUGAAUACGUUCCCGGGGCU
RNAcentral lists this ribosomal RNA (1346 nucleotides) under uncultured bacterium. RNAcentral describes it as "bacterial SSU rRNA". It matches the Rfam family "Bacterial small subunit ribosomal RNA", at positions 28 to 1381 of the family's 1533-position model. The record is from RNAcentral.